GACGAACGCUGGCGGCGUGCUUAACACAUGCAAGUCGAACGGAAAGGCCCUGCUUUUGUGGGGUGCUCGAUUGGCGCACGGGUGUGUGAAACGUGAGUAUCCUGCACCUGUCUUUGGGAUAACUUCUCGAAAAUGCGGCUCAUACCGGGUAUGAGCUCCUGAAGCAUGGUGGGCGUUGGAGAGUUUCGGCGGUGGGGGCUGGACUCGCAGGAUAUCCGCUUGUUGGUGGGGUAGUGGCUUACCAAGGCUUUGACGGGUAGCCGGCCUGAGAGGGUGACCGGCCACAUUGGGACUGAGAGACGGCCCAGACUCCUACGGGAGGCAGCAGGGGGGAAUAUUGCACAAUGGGCGGAAGCCGGAUGCAGCAGCGCUGCGUGCGGGAUGACGGCCUUCGGGUUGUAAACCGCUUUCGCCUGUAACGAAGCGUGAGUGACGGUAAUGGGUAAAGAAGCACCGGCUAACUACGUG
Molecule: ribosomal RNA, 468 nt
Filed under: uncultured bacterium
Lineage: Bacteria
Description: partial 16S ribosomal RNA
Rfam family: Bacterial small subunit ribosomal RNA
Source: RNAcentral